AGCCUGAAUCAGUGUGUGUGUUAGUGGAAGCGUCUGGAAAGGCGCGCGAUACAGGGUGACAGCCCCGUACACAAAAAUGCACAUGCUGUGAGCUCGAUGAGUAGGGCGGGACACGUGGUAUCCUGUCUGAAUAUGGGGGGACCAUCCUCCAAGGCUAAAUACUCCUGACUGACCGAUAGUGAACCAGUACCGUGAGGGAAAGGCGAAAAGAACCCCGGCGAGGGGAGUGAAAAAGAACCUGAAACCGUGUACGUACAAGCAGUGGGAGCACGCUUCGGCGUGUGACUGCGUACCUUUUGUAUAAUGGGUCAGCGACUUAUAUUCUGUAGCAAGGUUAACCGAAUAGGGGAGCCGAAGGGAAACCGAGUCUUAACUGGGCGUUAAGUUGCAGGGUAUAGACCCGAAACCCGGUGAUCUAGCCAUGGGCAGGUUGAAGGUUGGGUAACACUAACUGGAGGACCGAACCGACUAAUGUUGAAAAAUUAGCGGAUGACUUGUGGCUGGGGGUGAAAGGCCAAUCAAACCGGGAGAUAGCUGGUUCUCCCCGAAAGCUAUUUAGGUAGCGCCUCGUGAAUUCAUCUCCGGGGGUAGAGCACUGUUUCGGCAAGGGGGUCAUCCCGACUUACCAACCCGAUGCAAACUGCGAAUACCGGAGAAUGUUAUCACGGGAGACACACGGCGGGUGCUAACGUCCGUCGUGAAGAGGGAAACAACCCAGACCGCCAGCUAAGGUCCCAAAGUCAUGGUUAAGUGGGAAACGAUGUGGGAAGGCCCAGACAGCCAGGAUGUUGGCUUAGAAGCAGCCAUCAUUUAAAGAAAGCGUAAUAGCUCACUGGUCGAGUCGGCCUGCGCGGAAGAUGUAACGGGGCUAAACCAUGCACCGAAGCUGCGGCAGCGACACUAUGUGUUGUUGGGUAGGGGAGCGUUCUGUAAGCCUGUGAAGGUGUACUGUGAGGUAUGCUGGAGGUAUCAGAAGUGCGAAUGCUGACAUAAGUAACGAUAAAGCGGGUGAAAAGCCCGCUCGCCGGAAGACCAAGGGUUCCUGUCCAACGUUAAUCGGGGCAGGGUGAGUCGACCCCUAAGGCGAGGCCGAAAGGCGUAGUCGAUGGGAAACAGGUUAAUAUUCCUGUACUUGGUGUUACUGCGAAGGGGGGACGGAGAAGGCUAUGUUGGCCGGGCGACGGUUGUCCCGGUUUAAGCGUGUAGGCUGGUUUUCCAGGCAAAUCCGGAAAAUCAAGGCUGAGGCGUGAUGACGAGGCACUACGGUGCUGAAGCAACAAAUGCCCUGCUUCCAGGAAAAGCCUCUAAGCAUCAGGUAACAUCAAAUCGUACCCCAAACCGACACAGGUGGUCAGGUAGAGAAUACCAAGGCGCUUGAGAGAACUCGGGUGAAGGAACUAGGCAAAAUGGUGCCGUAACUUCGGGAGAAGGCACGCUGAUAUGUAGGUGAAGCGACUUGCUCGUGGAGCUGAAAUCAGUCGAAGAUACCAGCUGGCUGCAACUGUUUAUUAAAAACACAGCACUGUGCAAACACGAAAGUGGACGUAUACGGUGUGACGCCUGCCCGGUGCCGGAA
RNAcentral lists this ribosomal RNA (1576 nucleotides) under Escherichia coli. RNAcentral describes it as "partial 23S ribosomal RNA". It matches the Rfam family "Bacterial large subunit ribosomal RNA", at positions 307 to 1874 of the family's 2925-position model. The record is from RNAcentral. Lineage: Bacteria; Pseudomonadati; Pseudomonadota; Gammaproteobacteria; Enterobacterales; Enterobacteriaceae.